Molecule: transfer RNA, 73 nt
Filed under: Ailuropoda melanoleuca (giant panda)
Lineage: Eukaryota; Metazoa; Chordata; Mammalia; Carnivora; Ursidae
Rfam family: tRNA
About the family: Transfer RNA (tRNA) molecules are approximately 80 nucleotides in length. Their secondary structure includes four short double-helical elements and three loops (D, anti-codon, and T loops). Further hydrogen bonds mediate the characteristic L-shaped molecular structure. tRNAs have two regions of fundamental functional importance: the anti-codon, which is responsible for specific mRNA codon recognition, and the 3' end, to which the tRNAs corresponding amino acid is attached (by aminoacyl-tRNA synthetases). tRNAs cope with the degeneracy of the genetic code in two manners: having more than one tRNA (with a specific anti-codon) for a particular amino acid; and 'wobble' base-pairing, i.e. permitting non-standard base-pairing at the 3rd anti-codon position.
Source: Rfam by way of RNAcentral
ACCUGGCUGGCUCAGUAGGAAGAGCGUGAGACUCUUGAUCUUGGGGUCAUGAGGUGGAGCCCCAUGCUGGGUG